GACGAACGCUGGCGGCGUGCCUAACACAUGCAAGUCGGACGGGGUUGAGGUCUUCGGACCUUAACUUAGUGGCGAACGGGUGAGUAACGCGUGAGAAACCUGCCUUUCAGUGGGGGACAACAGUUGGAAACGACUGCUAAUACCGCAUAAUGUUAUCGAGCGGCAUCGCUUGAUAACCAAAGCUUUAUGUGCUGAAAGAUGGUCUCGCGUCUGAUUAGCUAGAUGGCGGGGUAACGGCCCACCAUGGCGACGAUCAGUAGCCGGUCUGAGAGGAUGAACGGCCACAUUGGGACUGAGAUACGGCCCAG
This 308-nucleotide ribosomal RNA is filed under the name uncultured bacterium. RNAcentral describes it as "bacterial SSU rRNA". It matches the Rfam family "Bacterial small subunit ribosomal RNA", at positions 28 to 334 of the family's 1533-position model. The record is from RNAcentral.